Molecule: ribosomal RNA, 425 nt
Filed under: uncultured prokaryote
Description: bacterial SSU rRNA
Rfam family: Bacterial small subunit ribosomal RNA
Source: RNAcentral
UGGGGAAUCAUGGUCAAUGGGCGAAAGCCUGAACCUGCGACGCCGCGUGAGUGAUGAAGGUCGUAAGAUCGUAAAACUCUUUUCAGGGAUCUUAAAGCCUGUCUGUCAACAAAAGGCAGGUCUGACUCUCCCUGGAAGAAGCCCCAGCCAACUACGUGCCAGCAGCUGCGGUACUACGUAGGGGGCGAGCGUUAUUCGGAAUUACUGGGUGUAAAGGGUAUGUAGGCGGCCCUUCAAGUCGCGUGUCAAAGCCCAGUGCUCAACGCUGGGUGUGCACGCGAUGAUGGCGGGCGUGAGGGCUGGAGAGGUGAGCGGAAUUCCCGGUGUAGUGGUAAAAUACGUAGAGAUCGGGAGGAACACCAGCGGCGCAGGCGGCUCACUAGACAGUUUCUGACGCUAAGAUACGAAAGCGUGGGGAGCAAACA